GCGGCUGUAGCUCAGUUGGUAGAGCAUCACGUUGCCAACGUGAAUGUCGUCGGUUCGAGUCCGAUCAGCCGCUC
RNAcentral lists this transfer RNA (74 nucleotides) under Botrimarina colliarenosi. RNAcentral describes it as "Planctomycetes bacterium Pla108 tRNA-Gly". It matches the Rfam family "tRNA". Rfam says of the family: Transfer RNA (tRNA) molecules are approximately 80 nucleotides in length. Their secondary structure includes four short double-helical elements and three loops (D, anti-codon, and T loops). Lineage: Bacteria; Pseudomonadati; Planctomycetota; Planctomycetia; Pirellulales; Lacipirellulaceae. The record is from RNAcentral.